AUUGAACGCUGGCGGCAUGCCUUAACACAUGCAAGUCGAACGGCAGCACGGGAGCAAUCCUGGUGGCGAGUGGCGAACGGGUGAGUAAUAUAUCGGAACGUGCCCAGUGAUGGGGGAUAGCCCGGCGAAAGCCGGAUUAAUACCGCAUACGACCUACGGGUGAAAGCAGGGGAUCGCAAGACCUUGCGUCAUUGGAGCGGCCGAUAUCAGAUUAGCUUGGGGUGGGUAAAAGCCUACCAAGGCGACGAUCUGUAGCUGGUCUGAGAGGACGACCAGCCACACUGGGACUGAGACACGGCCCAGACUCCUACGGAGGCAGCAGUGGGGAUUUUGGACAAUGGCGCAAGCCUGAU
This 353-nucleotide ribosomal RNA is filed under the name uncultured bacterium. RNAcentral's name for it is "bacterial SSU rRNA". It matches the Rfam family "Bacterial small subunit ribosomal RNA", at positions 30 to 387 of the family's 1533-position model. The record is from RNAcentral.